CCUACGGGAGGCAGCAGUAAGGAAUAUUGGUCAAUGGGCGGAAGCCUGAACCAGCCAUGCCGCGUGCAGGAUGACUGCCCUAUGAGUUGUAAACUGCUUUUGUCCGGGAAUAAACCUAAAUACGUGUAUUUAGCUGAAUGUACCGGAAGAAUAAGGAUCGGCUAACUCCGUGCCAGCAGCCGCGGUAU
Molecule: ribosomal RNA, 188 nt
Filed under: uncultured bacterium
Lineage: Bacteria
Description: partial 16S ribosomal RNA
Rfam family: Bacterial small subunit ribosomal RNA
Source: RNAcentral